ACUUAAAUUGAAGAGUUUGAUCAUGGCUCAGAUUGAACGCUGGCGGCAGGCCUAACACAUGCAAGUCGAGCGGUAGCACAGAGAGCUUGCUCUCGGGUGACGAGCGGCGGACGGGUGAGUAAUGUCUGGGAAACUGCCUGAUGGAGGGGGAUAACUACUGGAAACGGUAGCUAAUACCGCAUAAUGUCGCAAGACCAAAGUGGGGGACCUUCGGGCCUCAUGCCAUCAGAUGUGCCCAGAUGGGAUUAGCUAGUAGGUGGGGUAACGGCUCACCUAGGCGACGAUCCCUAGCUGGUCUGAGAGGAUGACCAGCCACACUGGAACUGAGACACGGUCCAGACUCCUACGGGAGGCAGCAGUGGGGAAUAUUGCACAAUGGGCGCAAGCCUGAUGCAGCCAUGCCGCGUGUGUGAAGAAGGCCUUCGGGUUGUAAAGCACUUUCAGCGGGGAGGAAGGCGUUAAGGUUAAUAACCUUGGCGAUUGACGUUACCCGCAGAAGAAGCACCGGCUAACUCCGUGCCAGCAGCCGCGGUAAUACGGAGGGUGCAAGCGUUAAUCGGAAUUACUGGGCGUAAAGCGCACGCAGGCGGUCUGUCAAGUCGGAUGUGAAAUCCCCGGGCUCAACCUGGGAACUGCAUUCGAAACUGGCAGGCUAGAGUCUUGUAGAGGGGGGUAGAAUUCCAGGUGUAGCGGUGAAAUGCGUAGAGAUCUGGAGGAAUACCGGUGGCGAAGGCGGCCCCCUGGACAAAGACUGACGCUCAGGUGCGAAAGCGUGGGGAGCAAACAGGAUUAGAUACCCUGGUAGUCCACGCCGUAAACGAUGUCGAUUUGGAGGUUGUGCCCUUGAGGCGUGGCUUCCGGAGCUAACGCGUUAAAUCGACCGCCUGGGGAGUACGGCCGCAAGGUUAAAACUCAAAUGAAUUGACGGGGGCCCGCACAAGCGGUGGAGCAUGUGGUUUAAUUCGAUGCAACGCGAAGAACCUUACCUGGUCUUGACAUCCACAGAACUUUCCAGAGAUGGAUUGGUGCCUUCGGGAACUGUGAGACAGGUGCUGCAUGGCUGUCGUCAGCUCGUGUUGUGAAAUGUUGGGUUAAGUCCCGCAACGAGCGCAACCCUUAUCCUUUGUUGCCAGCGGUUCGGCCGGGAACUCAAAGGAGACUGCCAGUGAUAAACUGGAGGAAGGUGGGGAUGACGUCAAGUCAUCAUGGCCCUUACGACCAGGGCUACACACGUGCUACAAUGGCAUAUACAAAGAGAAGCGACCUCGCGAGAGCAAGCGGACCUCAUAAAGUAUGUCGUAGUCCGGAUUGGAGUCUGCAACUCGACUCCAUGAAGUCGGAAUCGCUAGUAAUCGUAGAUCAGAAUGCUACGGUGAAUACGUUCCCGGGCCUUGUACACACCGCCCGUCACACCAUGGGAGUGGGUUGCAAAAGAAGUAGGUAGCUUAACCUUCGGGAGGGCGCUUACCACUUUGUGAUUCAUGACUGGGGUGAAGUCGUAACAAGGUAACCGUAGGGGAACCUGCGGUUGGAUCACCUCCUUACCUUAAAGAA
Molecule: ribosomal RNA, 1554 nt
Filed under: Klebsiella pneumoniae
Lineage: Bacteria; Pseudomonadati; Pseudomonadota; Gammaproteobacteria; Enterobacterales; Enterobacteriaceae
Also listed under: 1 other name
Description: bacterial SSU rRNA
Rfam family: Bacterial small subunit ribosomal RNA
Source: RNAcentral